This 429-nucleotide ribosomal RNA is filed under the name Pseudomonadota bacterium. RNAcentral's name for it is "Proteobacteria bacterium partial 16S ribosomal RNA". It matches the Rfam family "Bacterial small subunit ribosomal RNA", at positions 355 to 776 of the family's 1533-position model. Lineage: Bacteria; Pseudomonadati; Pseudomonadota. The record is from RNAcentral.
UGGGGAAUAUUGGACAAUGGGCGAAAGCCUGAUCCAGCCAUGCCGCGUGUGUGAAGAAGGUCUUCGGAUUGUAAAGCACUUUAAGUUGGGAGGAAGGGCAGUAAGCGAAUACCUUGCUGUUUUGACGUUACCGACAGAAUAAGCAUCGGCUAACUCUGUGCCAGCAGCCGCGGUAAUACAGAGGGUGCGAGCGUUAAUCGGAUUUACUGGGCGUAAAGCGUGCGUAGGCGGCUAAUUGAGUCGGAUGUGAAAUCCCCGAGCUUAACUUGGGAAUUGCAUUCGAUACUGGUUAGCUAGAGUGUGGGAGAGGAUGGUAGAAUUCCAGGUGUAGCGGUGAAAUGCGUAGAGAUCUGGAGGAAUACCGAUGGCGAAGGCAGCCAUCUGGCCUAACACUGACGCUGAGGUACGAAAGCAUGGGGAGCAAACAGG